RNAcentral lists this ribosomal RNA (605 nucleotides) under Escherichia coli. Its description in RNAcentral is "partial 23S ribosomal RNA". It matches the Rfam family "Bacterial large subunit ribosomal RNA", at positions 1404 to 1993 of the family's 2925-position model. Lineage: Bacteria; Pseudomonadati; Pseudomonadota; Gammaproteobacteria; Enterobacterales; Enterobacteriaceae. The record is from RNAcentral.
GAAAGGCGUAGUCGAUGGGAAAAUGGUUAAUAUUCCAUUACUUCUGUGUAAUGCGAUGAGAGGACGGAGAAGGCUAAAUCAGCCUGGCGUUGGUUGUCCAGGUGAAAGGAUGUAGGCAUGUAUCUUAGGCAAAUCCGGGGUACUCUAUGCUGAGAUCUGAUAGCAAGCUGUACUUGUACAGCGAAGUGGUUGAUGCCAUGCUUCCAGGAAAAGUCUCUAAGCUUCAGUUACACAGGAAUCGUACCCGAAACCGACACAGGUGGUCAGGUCGAGUAGACCAAGGCGCUUGAGAGAACUCUGCUGAAGGAACUAGGCAAAAUGGUACCGUAACUUCGGGAGAAGGUACGCUGUUGUUGGUGAUGGAACUCGCUUCCUGAGCUGACGACAGCCGCAGAAACCAGGCCGCUGCAACUGUUUAUUAAAAACAUAGCACUCUGCAAACACGAAAGUGGACGUAUAGGGUGUGAUGCCUGCCCGGUGCUGGAAGGUUAAUUGAUGGGGUUAGCGUAAGCGAAGCUCUUGAUCGAAGCCCCAGUAAACGGCGGCCGUAACUAUAACGGUCCUAAGGUAGCGAAAUUCCUUGUCGGGUAAGUUCCGACCUGCAC